AGUGAACGCUGGCGGUAGGCCUAACACAUGCAAGUCGAACGGCAGCACAGGAGAGCUUGCUCUCUGGGUGGCGAGUGGCGGACGGGUGAGGAAUACAUCGGAAUCUACCUUUUCGUGGGGGAUAACGCAGGGAAACUUACGCUACUACCGCAUACGCCCUCCGGGUGAAAGUGGGGGACCGCAAGGCCUCACGCGAUUAGAUGAGCCGAUGUCUGAUUAGCUAGUUGGCGGGGUAAUGGCCCACCAAGGCGACGAUCGGUAGCUGGUCUGAGAGGAUGAUCAGCCACACUGGAACUGAGACACGGUCCAGACUCCUACGGGAGGCAGCAGUGGGGAAUAUUGGACAAUGGGCGCAAGCCUGAUCCAGCCAUACCGCGUGGGUGAAGAAGGCCUUCGGGUUGUAAAGCCCUUUUGUUGGGAAAGAAAUCCUGUCGAUUAAUACUCGGUGGGGAUGACGGUACCCAAAGAAUAAGCACCGGCUAACUUCGUG
RNAcentral lists this ribosomal RNA (490 nucleotides) under uncultured bacterium. RNAcentral's name for it is "partial 16S ribosomal RNA". It matches the Rfam family "Bacterial small subunit ribosomal RNA", at positions 29 to 507 of the family's 1533-position model. The record is from RNAcentral.